This 253-nucleotide ribosomal RNA is filed under the name uncultured bacterium. RNAcentral's name for it is "partial 16S ribosomal RNA". It matches the Rfam family "Bacterial small subunit ribosomal RNA", at positions 524 to 776 of the family's 1533-position model. The record is from RNAcentral.
UACGCAGGGUGCAAGCGUUACUCGGAAUUACUGGGCGUAAAGCGUGCGCAGGCGGCUUUGCAAGACAGAUGUGAAAUCCCCGGGCUUAACCUGGGAACUGCAUUUGUGACUGCAUGGCUGGAGUGCGGCAGAGGGGGAUGGAAUUCCGCGUGUAGCAGUGAAAUGCGUAGAUAUGCGGAGGAACACCGAUGGCGAAGGCAGUCCCCUGGGCCGAUACUGACGCUGAGGAGCGAAAGCGUGGGGAGCGAACAGG